AGAGUUUGAUCCUGGCUCAGGGUUAACGCUGGCGGUGUGUAUAAUACAUGCAAGUCGAGCGAGAUUUUUAUUCUAGCUUGCUAGAAUAAAAUGAAAGCGGCGAACGGGUGAGGAACACGUUGGUAUCUACCCCAGACUCAGGGAUAACGUAUAGAAGUAUACGCUAAUACCGGAUGGUCUCGUAAGAGUAAAGCUUUUGCGGUCUGGGAGGAGCCUGCGGCUUAUCAGCUAGUUGGUGAGGCAAUAGCCCACCAAGGCUAUGACGAGUAACUGGUCUGAGAGGAUGACCAGUCACAAUGGGACUGAGACACGGCCCAUACUCCUACGGGAGGCAGCAGUAAAGAAUCUUCCACAAUGGGCGAAAGCCUGAUGGAGCGACACCGCGUGGUCGAUGAAGGUCGUAAGAUCGUAAAGACCUUUUCUGAGGGAAGAAUUAUGACGGUACCUCAGGAAUAAGCACCGGCUAACUCCGUGCCAGCAGCCGCGGUAAUACGGAGGGUGCAAGCGUUACCCGGAAUCAUUGGGCGUAAAGCGUCCGCAGGCGGUUUAUUAAGUUAAAUAUUAAAUCUCGAAGCCCAACUUCAAGUGUGUAUUUAAAACUGGUAGACUAGAGUUUUUUAGGGGCAUGUAGAAUUCUGUGUGUAGGGGUAAAAUCCGUAGAUAUACAGAGGAAUACCAAAAGCGAAGGCAGCAUGCCGGAAAAAUACUGACGCUCAUGGACGAAAGCGUGGGGAGCAAACACGAUUAGAUACCCCGGUAGUCCACGCUGUAAACUUUGGAUACUAGGUGUUGGAGGGUCUCGACCCCUUCAGUGCCCUCGCUAACGCUUUAAGU
This 834-nucleotide ribosomal RNA is filed under the name uncultured bacterium. Its description in RNAcentral is "bacterial SSU rRNA". It matches the Rfam family "Bacterial small subunit ribosomal RNA", at positions 8 to 865 of the family's 1533-position model. The record is from RNAcentral.